Molecule: ribosomal RNA, 492 nt
Filed under: uncultured bacterium
Lineage: Bacteria
Description: partial 16S ribosomal RNA
Rfam family: Bacterial small subunit ribosomal RNA
Source: RNAcentral
AGUGAACGCUGGCGGUAGGCCUAACACAUGCAAGUCGAACGGCAGCACAGUAAGAGCUUGCUCUUACGGGUGGCGAGUGGCGGACGGGUGAGGAAUACAUCGGAAUCUACUUUUUCGUGGGGGAUAACGUAGGGAAACUUACGCUAAUACCGCAUACGACCUACGGGUGAAAGCAGGGGAUCUUCGGACCUUGCGCGAUUGAAUUAGCCGAUGUCGGAUUAGCUAGUUGGCGGGGUAAAGGCCCACCAAGGCGACGAUCCGUAGCUGGUCUGAGAGGAUGAUCAGCCACACUGGAACUGAGACACGGUCCAGACUCCUACGGGAGGCAGCAGUGGGGAAUAUUGGACAAAGGGCGCAAGCCUGAUCCAGCCAUACCGCGUGGGUGAAGAAGGCCUUCGGGUUGUAAAGCCCUUUUGUUGGGAAAGAAAAGCAGCAGGUUAAUACCCCGCUGUUCUGACGGUACCCAAAGAAUAAGCACCGGCUAACUUCGUG